This is a non-coding RNA of Podarcis lilfordi (Lilford's wall lizard), 68 nucleotides long. The record is from the annotation of a GenBank genome assembly. NCBI's taxonomy places the organism in Eukaryota, Metazoa, Chordata, Lepidosauria, Squamata, Lacertidae.
GACAGCACAGUUUGAAGAGCAUGAGACACUGAAUCUCAAGGUUGUGGGUUCGAGCCCCACAUUGGGCA